Molecule: ribosomal RNA, 497 nt
Filed under: uncultured bacterium
Lineage: Bacteria
Description: partial 16S ribosomal RNA
Rfam family: Bacterial small subunit ribosomal RNA
Source: RNAcentral
GAUGAACGCUGGCGGCGUGCCUAAUACAUGCAAGUCGAGCGAACAGAUGAGGAGCUUGCUCCUCUGACGUUAGCGGCGGACGGGUGAGUAACACGUGGAUAACCUACCUAUAAGACUGGGAUAACUUCGGGAAACCGGAGCUAAUACCGGAUAAUAUAUUGAACCGCAUGGUUCAAUAGUGAAAGACGGUUUUGCUGUCACUUAUAGAUGGAUCCGCGCCGCAUUAGCUAGUUGGUAAGGUAACGGCUUACCAAGGCGACGAUGCGUAGCCGACCUGAGAGGGGGGUCGGCCACCCUGGAACUGAGACACGGUCCAGACUCCUACGGGAGGCAGCAGUAGGGAAUCUUCCGCAAUGGGCGAAAGCCUGACGGAGCAACGCCGCGUGAGUGAUGAAGGUCUUCGGAUCGUAAAACUCUGUUAUUAGGGAAGAACAAAUGUGUAAGUAACUAUGCACGUCUUGACGGUACCUAAUCAGAAAGCCACGGCUAACUACGUG